CCUACGGGAGGCAGCAGUGAGGAAUAUUGGUCAAUGGACGAGAGUCUGAACCAGCCAAGUAGCGUGAAGGAUGACUGCCCUAUGGGUUGUAAACUUCUUUUAUAUGGGAAUAAAAUGUUCCACGUGUGGGAUUUUGUAUGUACCAUAUGAAUAAGGAUCGGCUAACUCCGUGCCAGCAGCCGCGGUAAUACGGAGGAUCCGGGCGUUAUCCGGAUUUCUUGGGUUUAAAGGGAGCGUAGGUGGAUUGUUAAGUCAGUUGUGAAAGUUUGCGGCUCAACCGUAAAAUUGCAGUUGAAACUGGCAGUCUUGAGUACAGUAGAGGUGGGCGGAAUGCGUGGUGUAGCGGUGAAAUGCUUAGAUAUCACGAAGAACUCCGAUUGCGAAGGCAGCUCACUGGACUGCAACUGACACUGAGGCUCGAAAGUGUGGGUAUCAAACAGGAUUAGAUACCCCUGUAGUC
This 460-nucleotide ribosomal RNA is filed under the name uncultured bacterium. RNAcentral's name for it is "partial 16S ribosomal RNA". It matches the Rfam family "Bacterial small subunit ribosomal RNA", at positions 338 to 795 of the family's 1533-position model. The record is from RNAcentral.